UACGAAGGGGCUAGCGUUGCUCGGAAUCACUGGGCGUAAAGGGCGCGUAGGCGGCGUUUUAAGUCGGGGGUGAAAGCCUGUGGCUCAACCACAGAAUGGCCUUCGAUACUGGGACGCUUGAGUAUGGUAGAGGUUGGUGGAACUGCGAGUGUAGAGGUGAAAUUCGUAGAUAUUCGCAAGAACACCGGUGGCGAAGGCGGCCAACUGGACCAUUACUGACGCUGAGGCGCGAAAGCGUGGGGAGCAAACAGG
Molecule: ribosomal RNA, 252 nt
Filed under: uncultured bacterium
Lineage: Bacteria
Description: partial 16S ribosomal RNA
Rfam family: Bacterial small subunit ribosomal RNA
Source: RNAcentral